Molecule: ribosomal RNA, 501 nt
Filed under: uncultured bacterium
Lineage: Bacteria
Description: partial 16S ribosomal RNA
Rfam family: Bacterial small subunit ribosomal RNA
Source: RNAcentral
AUUGAACGCUGGCGGCAGGCUUAACACAUGCAAGUCGAGCGGGGGAAGGUAGCUUGCUACCGGACCUAGCGGCGGACGGGUGAGUAAUGCUUAGGAAUCUGCCUAUUAGUGGGGGACAACAUCUCGAAAGGGAUGCUAAUACCGCAUACGUCCUACGGGCGAAAGCAGGGGAUCUUCGGACCUUGCGCUAAUAGCUGAGCCUAAGUCGGAUUAGCUGGGUGGUGGGGUAAAGGCCUGCCAAGGCGACGAUCUGUAGCGGGGCUGAGAGGAUGGUCCGUCACUCUGGGACUGAGACACGGCCCAGACUCCUACGUGAGGCAGCAGUGGUGAAUAUUGGACAAUGGGGGGAACCCUGAGCCAGCCAUGCCGCGUGUGUGAAGAAGGCCUUAUGGUUGUAAAGCACUUUAAGCGAGGAGGAGUCUACUCUAGUUAAUACCUAGGGAUAGUGGACGUUACUCGCAGAAUAAGCACCGGCUAACUCUGUGCCAGCCGCCGCCGUAA